AGGCGGUUAGCUCAGUUGGUAGAGCACGUCCUUCACACGGACGGGGUCGUUGGUUCGAGUCCAAUACCGCCUACCA
This 76-nucleotide transfer RNA is filed under the name Viridibacterium curvum. RNAcentral's name for it is "tRNA-Val". It matches the Rfam family "tRNA". Rfam says of the family: Transfer RNA (tRNA) molecules are approximately 80 nucleotides in length. Their secondary structure includes four short double-helical elements and three loops (D, anti-codon, and T loops). The record is from RNAcentral. RNAcentral also lists the same sequence under 8 other names. Lineage: Bacteria; Pseudomonadati; Pseudomonadota; Betaproteobacteria; Rhodocyclales; Rhodocyclaceae.